UCUUAUGUAAGUAUAGGUCCAAUCUUCAGUCUUUUUUCUUAUCUGUUUUUGAUUUUCACUGUAAAGCAUUUUAAACUUUCAUUUACUCACCCUCAUGUUGCUUUAAACCUGUAUGAAUUUCUUCUUUCUUCCUUAUUCUUUCUUCAAACAGCAUUGGACCCCAUUCAUUUUCUUCACUUGAGACCCUUGAAAACACUUGAGACAUUUUUCAAGAUCUUCUUUUUGUUCUGCAGAAGAAAGCAAGUCAUACAUGUUUGGAAUGGCAUUAAGAGACGGAUCACACCUGAAGAUGUUUCCAGAGGACACAGGGUUUUCAGUAUGAAACCGAACCCUGGGAGCGCUUCGACCUGAGCUUCAGAGAGCAUGAGACUGAUGUGCUUUUGAAGAUGAUGACAGAUACAGGGCCUUGAUUUCAUUUGAUUAACUGGAGCAAGAAACUCUGUGAUGCAUCAUAGAGAGACCAUCUUUCUCUCCUGAACUCUCUCAGGUUUUGAGGUCAUUUCGUUAAUCACACUUAGAACUUCUGAGUCACAGGUUAAAACAUGUCACUGCAAAUACAUUUCUCUGUUUUUGGGUUCUGUACUUGUAGUACUUUCAGUCCAUAAUCCAUUUUCAUUGAUAUCAAAGGAAUUCAAUGCUUCUAAUGAAUGCAAUCUGUUGUCUUCUUGGUGCCUGUUUUCCCUUGUCAGAACAAGGAAGAAACAUUUAUUGUCCUGGCUUUUGUUUUCUAUAUGACUCUCAUUUUAACCUGCACAAUUAAUAUUGAUGUUUAUUAUUCAACUUUUUGUUUUUACAUUUAAAACUUUUACAUUUUUUUUUUAAUUUAUUAUUUACAUUUUUAAUUCAUUAUUAUUGUUGUUGUUUGUAUUCCUUUUUUCAUAUUUGUAAAAUUGUGAUAUGAAUAUCCUCUAAUUUUGUGUAAAUACAUGUGCAAAGAUAUUACACAGAACUUAACCUGUAAUUUGUACUACAGAAACAAGAGACAGAAAAAUAAAAGGUGAACAUUCAUAUUGAGAUGUUGCUGU
Molecule: long non-coding RNA, 1025 nt
Organism: Cyprinus carpio (common carp)
Lineage: Eukaryota; Metazoa; Chordata; Actinopteri; Cypriniformes; Cyprinidae
Source: Ensembl